CGUUAAGUGGAUUUGGCAGUCCCAGACUAAAUUUUCCUGUUUCACUGAAGAUGGGAAUGGACUGAAUGAGACAGACAGCUGAAAGCAGAAAACCAUGGUUAUCAAACACAGAGCCAUGUAGCCUGUGGAGCCUGUGCCAACAGUGGUUACCAUGUUGAAACACCCCCAGAAAGGAAAGAGGCAUGGUUUGUCCUGUACUAGGAAUUAAGCAAUGCACAGCCUACUCCCGGCUCACAGAAGCAAGCUCUGACAGCUGACAGAAGAAGACACCCUCCCACAGCAGAGAAUGGGAAGCCUGGAUAUCUGCCUCUUGACAGAUUCUCUCGUUCAGUGACAGUAAGAUUAUAUCGCUUAGAAGAAGUCAAAUACAUGUUUACUUCAAACACAGGAUGAGCAAGAAAAACCUUAAAAUACUACCU
This is a non-coding RNA of Coturnix japonica (Japanese quail), 419 nucleotides long. Lineage: Eukaryota; Metazoa; Chordata; Aves; Galliformes; Phasianidae. The record is from RefSeq and is a predicted model, not a curated record.